Molecule: RNA transcript, 2089 nt
Organism: Enhydra lutris kenyoni (northern sea otter)
Lineage: Eukaryota; Metazoa; Chordata; Mammalia; Carnivora; Mustelidae
Gene name: DnaJ heat shock protein family (Hsp40) member C15
Exons: 7
Source: RefSeq, a predicted model, not a curated record
UUUGUUUCAUCUUAAAUAUAGCCAUUUGUGUGGAGAGAAGGGAUAUAGAAUAAGCAAACUGCCACUUCUAUCGCUUUCAUGGGUGGGAGAUUGCGUCAUUAAAGAGAAGUAUGAUCAGUAGCUGGGGUGGGAAGAACGGUCUGGUGUGAGUCAGGGACCUUCAAGAACUGCAGUUGGAGUCUCCGGGUCUCCCCUUGAUAGCCCUUUGAUGAGACCAAAAUCUGACCAUAGGGCUUAAAUCCUGGUCCUUUGUUGGGAAGAGGGCUGGGGAGGAGCCAGGCUCCACCACACAAUGCCCACGAGGCCCAACGUUGACUUUGGGCCUGAGGAUCAGAAACAAACAAAAAACCCCUCCACGUCCCAGGGGCCUCAGCUCCGAGUCUGUCCCUCGCCUUCGUGGGGACAGAGUGGCCCGAGCCUGGGGGAGAACGAGAUCUCCCGGUGACCUGCCCUCCACCCGCAAGGCAGGGGCGGCGCCAGCGAAACCCGCGAGUAAACCGCCUAACUAGUUUGUCCCUGCGGCCGUCUCGUAGGCGACGCCUCGGCGCCCCGAGUCUCGCUGCGUCGUAUUGCCAUGGCUGCCCGAGGCGGCGUCGCCCCUGCCAGCGAAGGUCUGCGCUACGCCGAGUACUCGCCGCCGGCGACCAAACGGCCGGACACGGACGUGGACCAGGGACUGGCAAGAAGUUUGAUCGCUGUAGGACUGGGUGUUGCGGCUCUUGCAUUUGCAGGUCGCUACGUGUUUCAGAUCUGGAAGCCUCUAGAACAAGUAAUCACAGAAACAGCAAAGAAGAUUUCCACUCCUAGCCUUUCAUCCUACUAUAAAGGAGGAUUUGAACAGAAAAUGAGUAGGCGAGAAGCUAGUCUUAUUUUGGGUAUAAGCCCAUCUGCUGGCAAGGCCAAGAUUAGAACAGCUCAUAGGAGAAUUAUGAUUUUGAAUCACCCAGAUAAAGGUGGAUCUCCUUACUUAGCAACCAAAAUAAAUGAAGCAAAAGACUUAUUAGAAGCAACCACCAAACAUUGAUCAAUACUUAAGAAUCAUUCUGAAGGAAAAGAAAGGAGAAUAUAAAACAAAAAAGUCUUGCAAAUUAAUCUAAACCACGUUGUUCAUAAUUUUCAUACAUGUACUGACCACAAUCAUUUGUUCCACUAUUAAGGAGAUGCUGGGCCCGGCUGCCUCUCAGGACACAGUAUUGAUUGGUUCACUUCUAAAUGCUACUAUCAGAAACUGAAACUGUAGACGCGUGGAUUUUCUUAGAAGCCCUUGGUGAAACUUGAGUUUUUACCCUUCAUACCAAAAUAAGCAAGGGGAAAAAAUAGAAAUCAGCCCAAUGAUACUUUAAAAUUGAUUUGUGUAUUUAUCUUGUAACACAGAUACCAAAGAAAGUACCUAUUUCCUUGGUUUAUUUCUUUCUUGCCUCAGGUGUAUCCCUAGCAGCUUUUGGCCUGCAGCUGCAUAAAGAACUCUAAACAGAGGCAUUGGUAUUCGAAAUGCUGAUGCAACCAGACUGUUACCCUGGGUAUUACCGAAAAUGUCUGCACAAAUGCCUGGAUUCCAUACUUAGUGUAAAUGACGGAUAGGCUACUGUUCUGUCUCCAACUUCUCCCUGAGGGGAGUACAGAUAGGCGUGCCCUAUGUUUCUCCUCUCUUGCCCUUCAUCAUCUGGCCAACCCCACACAGUGGUCACUUCGUAAUUCUCUCCCAAGGCCAGUUGGACAGUGCACACCACAGUCACCUGGCCUGGGAGGGUCUCGUGUUGUCAUUACACACCAUCCUAUGAUGUGUUUGCAGACAGGAAGGGGAAAGAGGACUGACAGUAUUGGGAUAACAUAACAUGAAGGGUGUGUCUAUCAUAAAAUACGAGCUUGAGUUUUGUUUUGUCAGGAGAGGAAUAUGUUUUCCACAGCAGUCUGGUGAAUUAAGAACAAUAUACUGAGUCCUACAGGGAACGUGUUCUAUUUGACUCUGUUGAUAGGAUUUAUGUGUGGAACAUCAAUUUUCUGUACAGACAUAAUUGAGUACAUAUUACCAUGAUAUGAAAAACUGGAAGCAUACAUAUGGUUGUGUAGGCUGUUAAAUUUUAAGAAA